This is a non-coding RNA of Macaca mulatta (Rhesus monkey), 1243 nucleotides long. Lineage: Eukaryota; Metazoa; Chordata; Mammalia; Primates; Cercopithecidae. The record is from RefSeq and is a predicted model, not a curated record.
AGGUGCCUUCAUGUGCUCAAUCAGUUAUUGGGUCAUGGUGAAGUCACAAUACAAGUCAAGUCAGUUCCUUAGUUACCCUCAUGGGCCACAGGUACAGUUGGCAUCAGUUGGUCCAGACUGUUAGAGGCAAAGUCUGAAAAAUAUCUCAAAGACCAGUCUUAGGUUUCACAGUAAUGUUAGUGACUGCUGGUUACUAUGGAAAGCAAGCUGGGAAACAAUGGACACAAUUGGAGACACAGGUUCUUUUAUCAAGGCCUUGACUGGAGUGGCAUGUUUUCAGAUAUGACCACAUUGCUUUGAGGAAAUGAGGUUGAUGUUGUAGAGCUGAUAAAGCCCCCACACAAAGGCCAGCCUACCUCUGGAAACCACAUAAAGAUGAGCUUUGUUAAAAUGACAGAGUAACAAAGAGAAAAAGACAAUAUGGAACCCAAGAAAUGGGAGGAUCCAACACAGAAUAGAGGUGAAAGGAACUCCCCAACUGCCGAUGACCAGGACAACCCCUGUGCAAUGUCCUGGGGAGCAGCUUGUCCACGCUGGAGCAAGAUGAUGGAGUGCUCUGUCAGGGGGUCUCCAGAGAGCACUGGAGUGACUUCAUUUUACACAGCUUCUGGAAGAUGCAGGCAGACUCAGAGUCAAAGAAAAGUAGGCAAAUGAAAAAUCAAUGAGAUCAGGAUCCUAAAUGUCCUUAAUCGAAGGCCUGAAUGUGAGUACAGAGCCUGAGAUGAGAACAUAAAGCAUGGGAGAACAAGGGCCUCUGAAGAAGAAGAAGAAAAGAAGACAUAAAGUAUAAACAAAACUCCAGUUUCCCAAUGUAAAUGUAUUAAAAUAUAAAAGGAAACAUACCAAAAUUUAAUUAAUUAAUUAUAGGAGCUAGUGAUGCAACAAUAGAAAACAUACCAAAAUAUUAUUUGGUUAUGUUUGGUGAAUAGAAUAUUUUCUUAUUUCCAAAUUUUUUAUAAUGAACAAGUUUUCUUUUUAUAAUAAGGGAAAAAUACUAUUUGAACAAAAAAUAAUACUGGGAUGUUUUCUGCAUUUAACUACCCUGUGUAUUCUUAGGCUAAUAUGGUAUCAUAUAUAAAAAAAUGCUCAAUAGUAGAAUAAUUUCAUAAUGUUGAGUAACUCCACAGAUCCUCCCAAGUUUUCAAGAAUUUAUUGAAAGUCAGCUCUUGCUUAUCUGUGGAGUGGGAAGAGUAUCACAAAAGAAUCUUAACACCUAGGCUAGCUUGUUUUUUUUUUUUUUUUU